UACGUAGGGUGCGAGCGUUAAUCGGAAUUACUGGGCGUAAAGCGUGCGCAGGCGGUGACCCAAGUCAGAUGUGAAAUCCCCGGGCUUAACCUGGGAACUGCAUUUGAAACUAUGUCGCUAGAGUGUAGCAGAGGGGGGUAGAAUUCCACGUGUAGCAGUGAAAUGCGUAGAGAUGUGGAGGAAUACCGAUGGCGAAGGCAGCCCCCUGGGUUAACACUGACGCUCAUGCACGAAAGCGUGGGGAGCAAACAGG
This 253-nucleotide ribosomal RNA is filed under the name uncultured bacterium. RNAcentral describes it as "partial 16S ribosomal RNA". It matches the Rfam family "Bacterial small subunit ribosomal RNA", at positions 524 to 776 of the family's 1533-position model. The record is from RNAcentral.